Molecule: long non-coding RNA, 1330 nt
Organism: Lates calcarifer (barramundi perch)
Lineage: Eukaryota; Metazoa; Chordata; Actinopteri; Centropomidae
Exons: 3
Source: RefSeq, a predicted model, not a curated record
AAGGGAGGUCCUACAUUUCCGAAAUGUUUGCUGCAAGUAUCAACAAAGACAGCUCUUGAUAUAUAACAGAAGUGAGUCCUCUGGUCAGGAAGGUCAUGUUUUCACUCCGCUAACCAUCACUGAAUGCUACAACAGCAACAAAAGAACCACUUCAUUUGACUGCUAGGGCUCCACUAGCCCUUCAGCACCGCAUUAUUUCCUGAUGGUGACGAGCCCGAUGUAUUCACAGAUACAACUGCCAAGUCAAAUGUUACAUUCUGUCUGCCCUGAGGGCCUCAGGAUGUAAGGUGCAGACCAUGAACUGCAACAUGCCUGGAUCAAGUCUUCCUGGGAACCUUUGUUGUGUGUUCCCCAUUUCUCUGUCAUUGAUGUCUCUGUCCCAUCAUUUCCAGUCAUCUCUCUACUCUUCUCACUAAUAAAAAGACACAAAUACCCAAAAUGUGAUGAUAUAUCAGAAACCAACCCAACACUUGUGUUCAAUCUUUCAGCUUUACAGAACAUACUGCUGAAAUUCCUGACCGACUGGCAUGAAAGUGGGUGAAUAUGAAUCAUCUGAAUAUUGGCAGAAAUUACAGUUGUAAUUGUAUGCCCUUCCAGCUGCAAGUCUGCACAAGCCAGGAUAGUCAACCACAGAACAGCUCCCCCCUCAGGCUCAUCUGGCUCAACAUGGGAUUGAGCCCAGGCUGAACAGCUGAAGGACAGAAACUGUGUGUACACCAUGCUACUUCUGAAAUGGUGCUACCUCCAUUCAAAGAUAACAGGCAAUGGUCUUCAGACAUGCAGACUUUAAUAUGACGGUGUAUGUGUGCAUGUCAGUGCUGAAUAAAUCCAGCAGGUGGAGUCAGAGAGCACAUGACAGAGCUGAGAUAUACGGCAAAGAACAGCAUCCUCUGUAUUCACCAUGCAAAUACUCAAGGUACACGCCAUUUAAAUUACUGUAUAACCACUUUUUUCACAGCCACUAUUCUCAUUUUCAUUUGCUGAUAUUAACAUCUCUGUCUGCACUGCUACAUUUUAACCAGACCUAUAACACUAUGUCUAACAAUAUGUUUUUUUUAUUAUAUAUAUAUAUAUAUAUAUAGUGUAAUAUGAAGGUGGGAUUCAAAACUGAUUUUAAACAUGACAAGGUUUCUGAUGGAUCAUUUUUAAAAGUCAUCAAUUCACAUGGGUAUAUUCAACACACACCCAAAUCAGUAACAAUCUGGUAUCUGGUAUACAUUACUAAGCAUGUUCUCCAGCCUAAAUCACCAUAUAUGACACCUGUAACCUUUAAAUUCUGCUUUAAUUCCUUUCUCAUUAAAAUCAGGGAAAAAUGCUCUGGCAACAUUAA